GGGGAUGAAAAUAAUAAGUUCUUUCAUGCAGCAACCAAUUGUCAGUCUAGACGUAACAAGAUUAAGGUCAUUGUUCAUGAUGGUGUGGAGUUCUUUGAUACCCAAAAUAAGUUGCAGCUGGCUAUGCGCUACUUGUCUGAUUUGUUGGGACAAUCAUCUCCAUCUCUGCCAACAGUUCAGCUUGGUGAUCUCUAUGGGGUCCUGGACUUAGCUUGUCUUCAACAGGAAUUCACUUGGACUGAAAUUAUCAGCGCUAUCGACCACUCUCCAAACAACAGAAGUCCUGGCCCAGACGGCUUCACAAACGAAUUCUUCAAGACCUUUCACUCCAAUAUUAAAGAGGAUCUGCAAUUCUUCUUCUCACAGUUGUACCAUCAUCAGGUUGAUUUUGCCGGGAUCAACACGGCUUACAUCUCCCUCCUGCCUAAGAAAGAAACUCCGCUUGAGUUGCGCGACUUUCGGCCCAUUUCUAUUGUGCACAGCGUGCCUAAGCUUGGCACUAAAGUUCUUGCAAGGACGCUUCAG
RNAcentral lists this ribosomal RNA (525 nucleotides) under Triticum aestivum (bread wheat). RNAcentral's name for it is "partial small subunit ribosomal RNA". The record is from RNAcentral. Lineage: Eukaryota; Viridiplantae; Streptophyta; Magnoliopsida; Poales; Poaceae.